GUCUGUUUGGAGAUAUAAAAAGUUUAACCUGCCCACUGAUAAAAUAUUAAAUGGCCGCGGUAUUUUGACCGUGCAAAGGUAGCAUAGUCGUUAGUUUUUUAAUUGGAAUCUUGUAUGAAUGGUUGGACAAAAGAAAAACUGUUUCUAUAUUAAUUAUUGAAUUUAAUUUUUAGGUGAAAAAGCUUAAAUGAAUUAAAGGGACGAUAAGACCCUGUAAAACUUAAUAUUAAAUUUUUAUUUAGUUAAAUUUUUUGUUUAUAAAAACUUUAUAAUCAAUAUUUAUUUUAUUGGGGUGAUAAAGGUAAAAUGGUUAGUAUCUGCUUAAUUUUAAAUACAUUUAUAGUUGAUUAAGGUUUUAAAUGAUCCUAGUUGAAGAUUGAAAGUUUAAG
This 389-nucleotide ribosomal RNA is filed under the name Brachyura sp. 2013Kam OTU6. Its description in RNAcentral is "partial 16S ribosomal RNA". The record is from RNAcentral. Lineage: Eukaryota; Metazoa; Arthropoda; Malacostraca; Decapoda.